UUUUCCUUUUUCCUUCCUUCGGCCGAACAUCAAAGAAUUUUAGAAAAAUUUCUUCGGUAAGCUAUUUUGGCGAAUCAACGCUUCUAUUCUCUUCCUCUCAUUCUCCUGAGCUUGGUGGCGAAGGUUCCUCCCAUGGGAAGGAAACUGCCGACCUGUGAGCGCGUCGCAAGGCGAGACGACGGGUUCAGUGAAUGGUUUAAUUGUUAAUUGCAUAGAUUUAAUAAGAGUUGCAACGUUGGACUGGGUUGUGCUGGGCAGACAUUAGACUGACCUACCUUUUCUUCUUGUCUAGGUUAGUUUGCAGUGUGCAUGUAAAUUCUAUGGAUCCACUAUACUUGACUUUUGUGUAUUAUUCCUAUAUUUGUAUUUUCUGGUUGUAUUUGGAACCCUGGCUGGUUCUGUAGUGGAGGUUGUCUCCCUCUUCAGUACGUUGUGGUAGCGGGUUUGUUUUGAGCCUUAUGAUGACCAGGAGGGAGAAUGUUCUAGGGUCCACUCCUUGUUAUCUUGGCGAUUGGCACGUACCCGACUAGGGUCGGGGUGUGACAAAAGUCAUCCCAAUUAGAA
Long non-coding RNA from Dioscorea cayenensis subsp. rotundata (Guinea yam), 564 nucleotides. RefSeq lists it as uncharacterized. The record is from RefSeq and is a predicted model, not a curated record. NCBI's taxonomy places the organism in Eukaryota, Viridiplantae, Streptophyta, Magnoliopsida, Dioscoreales, Dioscoreaceae. The transcript is spliced from 3 exons.